This 1582-nucleotide long non-coding RNA is filed under the name Ananas comosus (pineapple). RNAcentral describes it as "long non-coding RNA (ACOM_LNC026719)". Lineage: Eukaryota; Viridiplantae; Streptophyta; Magnoliopsida; Poales; Bromeliaceae. The record is from RNAcentral.
AGAUUAAAUUUUAACAAAUUUAAAUUUAUAAAUUUUGGAUAUAAAAUUUGAAUUAACAAUUAAAAUAUUUAAUUACAGUAAAUCAAAAUUAUAUUUUAAAUUUUAAAGUAAAUGUGAAUUAAAUUUUGACACUUUUAUUUAAACUACAUAAUUAAAUUUUAAAUUUAUCAGAAUUUAAAAAAUAUAUAAAAAAUAAUACAGGAUAUUGCAAUUUUUUUCUAAUAAAAUAUAAUUUAUGAAUUUAUAAAAUAUAAUUUUUAUUAUAAAUUUUUAGAUAAAUAUAAUGUAAAAUAACUAUUACGUGCAUUUAUAUGUACACUCAACGAUAUCUAUAUAUAUAGCUAGGGCUACUAUAUUUUUAUGAGUAUAGCCCCUCUGUACUCAUUAGUUUUCGGCCGUUGGAUGAAGGGAUGUGUGGUUAGUAUGACAGUAGUCUUCAGUUACGUUGAUAGUGGUCCACUAGGGUUGAGUGGGUGGUUGGUUGAAUAGUAUGAUUUAACACGUGAAAAUGGUCAAAAGGUAGAUCUAACGGCGGAAAACUUAUGAGUACAAGUAGGCCUAUAUACUCAUAAAAGUAUAGUAGCCGGACUAUAUAUAUAUAUAGCUGAGCUAGAAUACUAUCGAUAGCAAACGGGCUCCGUUGCCACCCAUUUGUUUUCGAUGAUGGAGUCUCCAAAUCGACGAUCGGCACUGUUGAACAUGAUCUAUACCACUGGAAGUGUUUAGAAAUCAAAUUUCAUAUAUUUUUGAUAUUGUUCUCUUAUUUAUCGAGUGGACACAAAAAUGAAAGGCUGAAAAUGAAUAUUCUUUAAAAAAUGAUGAUAGGAGUCUUGUAAUCAAUAUCAAGAGUAUAGAUCUUGUUUUAAAUAGUUUAAAGAAUUUUCUAACAAAAAUUUAAUUGAUUUGGAUAUCUUUACGCCGUUAAACGAGAAAACGCCUCAUAUCAACCAUUAAAAUUACAAAUUUCGAAACCCUUUGAUUAUUAGGCAAAUGAUGUGGAAAAGAUUUGAAAUUUGAUUUCUAAACACUUUAAGUGAUAUAGAUCAUGUUCAACGGUGCCGAUCGUCGAUUUGAAGGCUUUAUCAUCGAAAACAAAUGGUUGGCCAAUGGAGACCGUUUGCUAUCGAUAGUAUUCUAGCUCAACUCUAAUAGUACAGUAGCCCUACUAUAUAUAUAUAUAUAUAGGGUCCGGCUACUAUCCUAUUAAUAGGAUUGGGACCCUUGUCCUUUCAAGUCGAUUUGAAUGAUCCGAACUUCAAAUUAAUAAUCGGCACCGUUGAAGUUGAUCUACACAAUUAGAAAUGUUUAGAAACCAAAUUUUGUAUUAUUUAAAAAUCAUUAUCAAGUUCAUCUUAAGAGUUGAAAAAUGAACGGUCAUAAAUGAAUAACCUUCUUAAAAUAGAGGUUAGACUUUCUCAGUUCGUACUCAGAGUUAUCAAACAUUAUCUAAAUAGUAUAAAGAAUUUUUAAUCAAAAAUUCAAGCAAUUUGGAUUGCUCUACACCGUUAAACAAGCAAACGGCUCAUAUAGGCCGUCAAAAAUUGUCGAUUUUACGACACUUUGAUCACCAUGUAAACCAUUA